UCCUGAACUUUGGCCACAGCAGCCCACCAGGCAGUGCUAGACUUGGGCAGAUUGGUUGGAAAGUGGAUCAGUGGAAAAGGACCUGGGGUUGCUGGUUGACAGGGCUGAACAUUAGCCAGUGUGUGCCCAGGUAACCAAGAAGGCCAGUGGCAUCCUGGCCUGAAUCAGGAAUAGUGCAUCCAGCAGAACCAGGGAUGUGGUUCUUCCACUGUACUUGGCACUGCUGAGGCCUUAUCUCAAGUACCCAUUUCUAGGCCUCUCAAUUCAGGAAGGACAUUGAAGUGCUGGAGUUGUCCAAAGAAAGGCAGCACAGCUGUGAAAGGGUCCGGAAACAAGGCUUAUGAGAAGCAGCUGAGGGAGCUGGGGGUGUUUAAUCUGGAGAAGAGGAGUCUUAGGGGAGACGCUAUCACUCUCUACAACUCCCUGAAAGGUGUAGCUCAGUGGGGAUUGGGCUCUUCUCCCAAGCAACCAACGACAGGACAAGGGGACACAGUGGUAAGCUGUGUUAGGAGAGCUUUGGGUUAGACCUUAAAAAGAAACUUUUCACAGAAGGGGUGAUUAGGCAUUGGAACAGCUGCCCAGGAAGGUGGUGGAGGCAGCAUCACUGGAGGUGUUUAAGGUAACAUUUAGCUAAGUUUUGUUCAUCUGUAUCACUGGGAGGAUGGCAAGAUCGGAUUGGAAAGAGCAGAGUAAAGCGUGUGGCCAAAGGAGAUCGAGGUUCAAGGACAAGUGAUAAGUCUGUGAAAAUGCUUAGUUGGGCAUUUAUAAGACCAAGAGGUGCAGCAUCUUUUAUUUCAUUUUACUGCAUUUUUUUAUUUUCCCUACAAAAAUAAAUCUUCACAUAUCACUGCUUAUUCCUUAUACAUCAAUUAUACAAACUUUUGGACAAAAUCUAAGUUCAGAAUGAUGAGAUAUAACUGCAGAGAAUGUGUUUAUUCACAUCUUGAAUUGGUGUUCCAUUCUAGUAUACAGGAUUUAUACAAGUCAGGACAAGCAAUAGAGUCAUGAGAAGAAAGAAGUAACACAAGGAAAGGACUGACUGUGAAAUCAGGAAACAAUACUGGAAAACUAGCAUCAUUUCUUGUCUUCUUGAUUGCAGUGGGUUGAUUUUCUAAAUUAUCAAACCCUCAUGUGCCACAACUGUAAAAUAGUAUGUGGGUAGUCACAGAUACCAUAGAGUCAACGAGAUGCAAACCAGUGGUGGACAUGUGGCUGCACUGGGGCAUAUUAAAGGACACAAAAACCAAAAUUUUUGAUGGUUUUAUAUAGCAGUAAGAAGACACAUGAAACCUGAUCUGAUGAAGAUUCAUUAUUGUGGACAGAUGUUACUGAUAUUUCAAAAAGCUUGAACAUAAGAACUGAUCUGCUGGCCCUUGAGUGACUUUGAACCAGCACCAGCUGCUGUGACUGCAACGCAUUUGAUUCAGCAGAAGGAGUCCAAAAUCUGCUUUACUGCACUGCCAAACUGUGUCAUUUGUACUGAAUGUCAAAUGAGCAAAUGUUGUACAUUUUUACCUCUUAGAACUAUUUAUGACUGUAUCUUACUCCACUUCAGCCCAGUAUGUAGACUGUACCCAUUUUUUCAUGCUAAUUAUAAAUCAUUCUGUGAACAUUUCAGUUAACUCAUAGUUUUAAUUUGGCUGAUUUUACCACUCUUCCUCCUGCAAAUGUGUUUAAUAUGUAUCCACUUGUAUUGCUAGUCACACAUUUGGGACAAAGAAGAGAGACUAAACAAAAUCUUCUAGAAGUAAGUGAUAUGAGACUGUGCAAUUUGGUGUCCUAAUAAUGAAAGUCGACAGGUUGGGUUGUUGGUUUUUUUUUUUUUGGUUGGGUUUUUUUUUAAUUUGAACUGGUAUUUGAUGAAUCAGUAUCAAAAUAUUGCAAACAGUCCAUUAUUCUUAUGCCACACACUGUGUCAUAUAAUUUGAGGGUUUAAAAAAAUCCUUAGACAAUAAAAUAGUUAAAACCUCUGUAUGUUUCCCUCUGUAUGUUAAAUACAGAGGGAAUUAUAUUAAAAGAACUGAAUUGCCUAUCGAUCUGAGAUCUCUAUUUAAAUAAAUCUUAGAAACUCUGAAAUAAUUUAAAUUUUAAAUUCAAUGACCACAAGAUAAUGGCAUUUUAUGUUUAUAUACUUAACAGUACACAGUUCCUCAAAAUCAUGAACCCAUGUUUUUUGUUCUUUGAGUUUACUGGUGGUGUAUAAUGUAUAAGAACUCUAUUAUCUUCCUAAACCACUUUUGGACUAUUUUAUCAGUCUUUUAUUUUUCCCUAAGAAGCAUUUUGAUUAUACACCUGGACAGCUGCUGUUGUAGCUUCCACGUUUCAAGUAAGGCUAAUUAUACUUUUGGUACUGGCUGUUCAGAGUAAAUAGUCUGGAAAGUAACAAAGUAGCAAAAGUGUCCUGAUUUACGCAUCACAGCUUAGUCUUUCCUAGACAAUAGUGUAUAACAUAAGACUAGAAAACCAUACAAGCUGCUAACUUUUUUGUUUGAUUUUCUUGAGAAUCUUCCUUAUCUUAUUUUUAUACUGAGUGGUUCA
This is a long non-coding RNA of Passer domesticus (house sparrow), 2538 nucleotides long. RefSeq lists it as uncharacterized. NCBI's taxonomy places the organism in Eukaryota, Metazoa, Chordata, Aves, Passeriformes, Passeridae. The record is from RefSeq and is a predicted model, not a curated record. The transcript is spliced from 3 exons.